This is a long non-coding RNA of Cygnus olor (mute swan), 603 nucleotides long. RefSeq lists it as uncharacterized. Lineage: Eukaryota; Metazoa; Chordata; Aves; Anseriformes; Anatidae. The transcript has 3 exons. The record is from RefSeq and is a predicted model, not a curated record.
AUGGUGGAGUAGGCUGUCCCCCUGCAGACCAUGGGGUACCACAGCAGAGCAGAACUCCACGCUGCAGAAGGUGGAGGAGCCUGCAGUGGUGUAGGUGAAUGUGGCCUGAAGGAGGUCGCAGCCCAUGGAGAGCCCCCGAAGAGGCAGAUGCCAGGCCAGAAUUGCAGCCUGUGGAGAGGCGCCCCCUGUGUAGCUGGAAGUCUGUCAGGAACUGCGGCCUGUGGAGGUCCCAUGCUGGAGCAGUCCAUUCCUGAAGGACUGCACCCUGUGUUAUAGUCCCAUAUAGGAACAGUUCUUGAAGAACUGCAAUUUGUGGGAAGCCCACUUUGGAUCAGAUUACUAAGGACCACAUCCCCUGGGUGGGACCCCAUGGUGGAGCAGGGAAAGAGAGAAAACAUGAAGGAGCUACAGAGAUGAAGUAUUACGGACUGAACACAGUUACCAUUCCCCAUUCCUCUGUGACACUUGAGAGGAGGUCUCCAAGGGCUGUUCAGUGAAUCUGUGUCUUCCAUCAGCAAAGCCUAUCUCAGUAAGAUCAGAUCAGAUAAUCCAGACAUGAGGAAAAUUUGAGGUCUUCACUGAAAUGCAAAGGUUGCCACAAAU